This 223-nucleotide unclassified non-coding RNA is filed under the name rhizosphere metagenome. RNAcentral's name for it is "partial ribosomal RNA internal transcribed spacer region". The record is from RNAcentral.
GUAGGUGAACCUGCGGAAGGAUCAUUACAGAGUAUCAUGCCCUUCGGGGUAGAUCUCCACCCUUGAAUAACAUACCUUUGUUGCUUUGGCAGGACGCACUCGUGCCAGGGGCUUCGGCUCUUGAGUGCCUGCCAGAGGACCACAACUCUUGUUUUAGCAGUGGCAUCUUCUGAGUAAUUUUAUAAAUAAAUCAAAACUUUCAACAACGGAUCUCUUGGUUCUU